GGUAGCAUAUGUCACUAGCAUAGUCUAAAUAUUAAUACUCAUGCAAUUCUUCCUAAACUCAUUGGUUAUUCAACAAACGCAAUGAUAAUUAUACAAACUAAAACAAGUAACUAAGCAUAAAUUUAGAAAUUCUAGAACAAAGGUACAUAUAAGAAGCUCUGCAAAAAUUUUCAUUUCAUUGGUUGUAAUCUCAUCACAACUACAUACAUCAAGCAUGCUUCAACACUUCGGCAACUAUCAUAGCCAAGAGAAUACCUGGAAAUGGAAAAGGGUAGAAAGAAAUGAGGCAGCAAUAAGCAACACCAAACUAGUCAGUCAACACAGAAGAAUCAGGAAAUCAAGCAAAAAAUCAACCGGACUUAGCCAAUGAAACAGUAACUUUUAUGAAACCAACACUUCAAAACUAGUUUUUCAAGACCUCAAAAUCAAACCAUUUAGCCCCAAGAUUAAAUCAAAAAUUGUUUCAGAAUUAGAAAGCUUCAGAAAUCACAAAAGAAAAUUGAUGGAACAGUGUUGUACUGAAGUUUUCAGCCGUUAGUAUUAUUUCUGAAUUUUUA
RNAcentral lists this long non-coding RNA (557 nucleotides) under Nicotiana benthamiana. RNAcentral describes it as "long non-coding RNA (NBEN_LNC026738)". The record is from RNAcentral. Lineage: Eukaryota; Viridiplantae; Streptophyta; Magnoliopsida; Solanales; Solanaceae.